GAUGAACGCUAGCUACAGGCUUAACACAUGCAAGUCGAGGGGCAGCAUGGUCUUAGCUUGCUAAGGCCGAUGGCGACCGGCGCACGGGUGAGUAACACGUAUCCAACCUGCCGUCUACUCUUGGACAGCCUUCUGAAAGGAAGAUUAAUACAAGAUGGCAUCAUGAGUCCGCAUGUUCACAUGAUUAAAGGUAUUCCGGUAGACGAUGGGGAUGCGUUCCAUUAGAUAGUAGGCGGGGUAACGGCCCACCUAGUCUUCGAUGGAUAGGGGUUCUGAGAGGAAGGUCCCCCACAUUGGAACUGAGACACGGUCCAAACUCCUACGGGAGGCAGCAGUGAGGAAUAUUGGUCAAUGGGCGAGAGCCUGAACCAGCCAAGUAGCGUGAAGGAUGACUGCCCUAUGGGUUGUAAACUUCUUUUAUAAAGGAAUAAAGUCGGGUAUGGAUACCCGUUUGCAUGUACUUUAUGAAUAAGGAUCGGCUAACUCCGUG
RNAcentral lists this ribosomal RNA (490 nucleotides) under uncultured bacterium. RNAcentral's name for it is "partial 16S ribosomal RNA". It matches the Rfam family "Bacterial small subunit ribosomal RNA", at positions 28 to 507 of the family's 1533-position model. RNAcentral also lists the same sequence under 1 other name. The record is from RNAcentral.